CUUCUGUUUGCCUUGCUAUGCUCCCCAGUACCAAUGGAUGUAACAGGCUGCGCGUACUGCUGUCAGCACUGUAUGACUCUACACACUGAAGGAUUUCUUCAGCUAAGGGUAUAUAAGCAAGGGAAGCUAAGACAGUGCUAGAACAGUCUCACAUCACCACAAGGAAAAAACACUGUGAUAUAAUCUUCUGUGUUAUCAUAAAAUGUCUGAAAAUAAAAUACAAGCAUAUAAACACAUGUAGUAUAACUGCAAUUUUAAACAUCUGGAAGUCAGGCAGCCUCACUGGCAAAGGUUCCCGGAGUAAUCGCCCACCUUGCUCUGCGGGGAGCAAAGGUGAGUUCUGAAAUUCCCCAGCACUAAGUUCCCAGAAACCUCAUGGAGACAAAAUAUUUCCUGCAGAUAACAUAGCUGAGACUUGAUCUUAGUCUACUGCUAAAUGAUUAAUACACACAGAGCUGAGCUCUGCCCCUUGCCGUGUGUACAGUGCUUCCUCGUUCACCAGUGAGCAGAGGGAAGAAGGCUGACCUGGUUUACGUCGCAGAAGGGACAAGCUGUUUCCCAAACGUGUAGCACUAGACUGCUGGAUCCUCAUCUGUUCAUUCCCUGACUUUUGAAUGANNNNNNNNNNNNNNNNNNNNNNNNNNNNNNNNNNNNNNNNNNNNNNUGAAUGCUGAGACAUACCAGCUACGGUAAUUAGGAGUCUAAAACAUAACCUUUAGCAUUUUAGAUCCCCUUUCCAAUAGCAGGUCUCUUGAUGCAGCUGCUGUGCUGGUGGAUGAUGGAGCAGUUGCUGAAUAGAAAAAUGAAGGCAACGCCUAGCAAUACCAUAACCAUGCCAAAUGCCACUGACGUUACAGACAGUGAUCACUGGCGUCUAUUGAUCCACCCCCAACUCCAUGGGAUCAACUGGAUAAAAGGAAAACAAGAGUUUGUACAACUGGCAAAUGAAGCAGAGCUCAAAGGAUCUGACCAAAGAAUAUCAGUGUCGGAGGCCAGGUCAGUAUGCUCAAAAUGUGUGCAGUCAGUAAAAUCAUUACAGAAAUCUCUCUCAAGGGUUGUGCUUUUGCAGUUAGGCUGCAGGGAUUUUGUGGGCAUGGAGCUGCAAACUGUGACCCAGCUGGAUGGCUGUCCUCACCUUGGCCUUGCCCUACAGCUGCCUAACGGAGCUGGGGAUGUUCCCGGGGCUUCAUGCAGUUAUUGUGCCUGCGCUGUCCUCACGACUGGAAGGAAGGUCCUCCCAAUGAAACAAGGUAAUGAUGGACUAGGCAUUAAUAGCACACGUGU
Molecule: long non-coding RNA, 1284 nt
Organism: Struthio camelus australis
Lineage: Eukaryota; Metazoa; Chordata; Aves; Struthioniformes; Struthionidae
Source: Ensembl